UACAGAGGGGGCAAGCGUUGUUCGGAAUUACUGGGCGUAAAGGGCGCGUAGGCGGCGCGGGCAGUCAACGGUGAAAGCUUGGGGCUCAACCCCGAGUCGGCCGUCGAUACUCCCGGGCUGGAGCACUGUAGAGGCAGGUGGAAUUCCGGGUGUAGCGGUGGAAUGCGUAGAGAUCCGGAAGAACACCGGUGGCGAAGGCGGCCUGCUGGGCAGUAGCUGACGCUGAGGCGCGACAGCGUGGGGAGCAAACAGG
This 253-nucleotide ribosomal RNA is filed under the name uncultured bacterium. RNAcentral describes it as "partial 16S ribosomal RNA". It matches the Rfam family "Bacterial small subunit ribosomal RNA", at positions 524 to 776 of the family's 1533-position model. The record is from RNAcentral.